GCCGGGGUGGCGGAACUGGCAGACGCAGGGGACUCAAAAUCCCCCGGGCCUUGUGCCCUUGCGGGUUCGAUUCCCGCCCCCGGCA
This 85-nucleotide transfer RNA is filed under the name Acidobacteriota bacterium. RNAcentral describes it as "tRNA-Leu". It matches the Rfam family "tRNA". Rfam says of the family: Transfer RNA (tRNA) molecules are approximately 80 nucleotides in length. Their secondary structure includes four short double-helical elements and three loops (D, anti-codon, and T loops). Lineage: Bacteria; Pseudomonadati; Acidobacteriota. The record is from RNAcentral.